UUGACCUCAAAUCGAGUAGGACUACCCGCUGAACUUAAGCAUAUCAAUAAGCGGAGGAAAAGAAACUAACAAGGAUUCCCCUAGUAACGGCGAGUGAAGAGGGAAGAGCUCAAAUUUUGAAUCUGGCACCUUUGGUGUCCGAAUUGUAAUCUAGAGAAGUGUUUUCCGUGGCGGACCGUGCAUAAGUCUCCUGGAAUGGAGCGUCAUAGAGGGUGAGAAUCCCGUAUAUGGCAUGGACUCCCGUUGCUCUGUGAUACACUCUCGACGAGUCGAGUUGUUUGGGAAUGCAGCUCUAAAUGGGUGGUAAAUGCCAUCUAAAGCUAAAUAUUGGCGAGAGACCGAUAGCGAACAAGUACCGUGAGGGAAAGAUGAAAAGC
Molecule: ribosomal RNA, 377 nt
Filed under: uncultured Sebacinaceae
Lineage: Eukaryota; Fungi; Basidiomycota; Agaricomycetes; Sebacinales; Sebacinaceae
Description: eukaryotic LSU rRNA
Rfam family: Eukaryotic large subunit ribosomal RNA
Source: RNAcentral